GAUGGUCAAAGGAUAUUGCUUA
This 22-nucleotide non-coding RNA is filed under the name Arabidopsis thaliana (thale cress). The record is from RNAcentral. Lineage: Eukaryota; Viridiplantae; Streptophyta; Magnoliopsida; Brassicales; Brassicaceae.